UUUCGUAGGUGAACUGCGGAAGGAUCAUUA
Molecule: ribosomal RNA, 30 nt
Filed under: Phytophthora capsici
Lineage: Eukaryota; Oomycota; Peronosporomycetes; Peronosporales; Peronosporaceae
Description: partial 18S ribosomal RNA
Source: RNAcentral